ACUGUUGUGGGUCAUGCUGUUGUGGUUGCAUAGGCAUGGAGACACCAGACAACAGUCCUUGAGACAUUUGCAAAGCCUGAGAAUUUGUCGGAGGGAGCAUCCUUGCAUUUGCAAGAACAUUCUGGGUUGAGUUCAUAGGUGCACUUCCAGCAUUCCCUUGUUUCGAUGCCUCAUUGGGCGCUUGUCCAGUAACUGCAUCCCCAUACUGUUGCAUUUCAUUUGCAGAGUUACCUCUUGGAACACCACCCGCAGAAUUCUGUUGACUGCUGCUUGGACCAGCAUCCCCGCGACUUGGCUUCUCCUGAAUAUGUUCAUCUAUGCGGUAUCCUUCACGGACCAUCUGCAUAAGCAUAUAAAUCAAUCUGUAAGUAGCUUUCCUCUUCGAACCAAGAUUUUGACAUAAUCGAUUCAUAAUUCGAGAAUUACCAGUGAUUUAAACUGAGCAGCAAGUAGAUCGGCGAUGUGCUGUAACAAAGUGACGACAAAUAAACAAGUCAGCGUAAGAGGAGAAUUAAUCAUCCUUUGUCCACCCCCUUUCGAUCAUGGAAGAGAAGUAGAAACAAACAGAAGCAACUAACAAGAGAGAUGUGUCCAUAAACCAACCAUGUUCAAAAUUACACAAAGCGUUCAGUGGCCCAACAACCAAUAAACAAUGAUGAAUGUAAUGUCAGCAUUACAUUCAUUGUUAGUGCAUGCAAGUUGAAGAUAUACUGCUGAUCGGAAAAAAAUGCAGUGGGUGUCAAGUUUCCAGUGAACUUACAGUAUUGGGCAAUCCUAACAUAUGAUCUUCAGCUGGAAAACCAUCACCAUCAUCUAUUUCCCCUUGAUACCAUGCUACUGUCCCGUCGACGGGCUUCUCUGACAUCACCAGUCUUGUUACUAUUUUAGGGACGGCGGCAGGCACAUUACCUGAAAAGAUGGAGUCGAGAGUCAAUAAAAAAAAGUAUCAAUCGCCAGGUAUCUGGUUAGAGCAGAAAACCGACCUUGCAUCACACGCUCCAUCCGAAGGAAGUUUAUGACUCUUGUCUUGCAUGUAUUCAUGCUGCCACCAAGAAUAGAUUUUGACAAGGCUUUCUCUUCGUCUUUGAAGUCCUCGUUGUUAGACAAGCCCGAAAAACAAACCAUCAGACGCUGAGGAACAUAAGAGCGAGGUCUUCGCGAGUACUCAUCCACCUUAUGCUUUUUGCAGUUUAGUUGGUACCUAAAAAUUCCAUGACAUACCGCAUAAGAAACUUGUUCAUGCAGUAACAAAUGCAUGCAAUGAGAUAAGGAGGGUGAGACAAUGGCGUGUGUCAAAGUCAAAACUAUAAAAGGCUAUUAUUUCUAUUACUUGUUUCUCAAUCAUAGCUGGCAUAUAGUUCAAAGCAAACCACUAGCCACAUGAAGAAGAAUUUAAUGGGUAUAACCUCAACAAAACAGGUUUGAAAAGAUUCAUACCUUGCAGCAACUCGUUCAAUCUUUGAGAAUCUGUCGAGGAUUGCGUGAUCGCCAGUAGUUUGGUUUCCCACUGGAGGACCAACAGCAUUGGCACUCACAGUAUUGACACUAACAGGAGAACCAACAGUGUUUAUAGCUUGUGUCAUAGGAUGAGAAUUUGUCCUCCGUUUUGCAACCAUUUGGUGUUGCCUUUGCUGCAUAGCAUCAUUAGGACUAGAACCCACUGACUGAGUAGCACCAAUAGCAGGAAUAGAAGUAACAGCCUUGUCCUUUUGAGCUGCUGCAACUGCUCCAUAGUGGGUCCCCAUUGAACCACCAGAAAACUCACCAGACUUCGAUGAAAGUGGGGACUGUGGUUGAGCGCCUGCUGAUAAACGAGGGCUUUGAGCCGAUAUCCUUCUACUGAACUGUUCUUCUUUUCUCAGAUCUUUUUCAAUCUUCUGGCCUGGGUUCACGUUCCAGGAUGCUUGAGAGAAAUUCGAUCUUAACAAUCCAUUAUGGGGCAUCCUUGACUGCAUACGCGGAUCCACAUUAUUUGCAUCGCUUCCCACCCCAGGCAUAUCAUUUCUGACACUACCAUCAAUUUUACUCUCAAAUGGCUCCUCUUUCGAAGUGUAACGCAAUGUCCCCUGUUGUGAAGCUGGAAACUGCAUGGGACCACCUUCCUGAUUCAUUACUCCUUCAAUUUGCUGUGGUGAAAACCUCUGAAGACUUGGAUUUGGAUAUUGACUACUUCUGCCUAGUAUAUCUUGUUGUAGAACCGCAUUUUUCCAAUUUGUAUCGGUUCCCUGAAUGCCAUCCAUGCGUUGCCCCGGCUGUUGCUGUGGAACCCCAUGAGGACCCAUGUGUGAAACCCUUGUCCGCUUAUUCGAACCAGGCAUAGAAGACUCUUGCGCUUCUUGACUUUGUCUCUUUCUUUGGAAAGAUGCACCUGGGUUCAUACUAUCAGAGCCAUAAGGCAACAUUGCAUCUAAACCUCCAGAGACACUGGCAGAAUUUGAUCCUUGAUCUUGCAUGUUUCUAAUAUGUCCAGUUCCCAGGUACCUUUGUUGCUGAGGUGGUACCAAAGGCAGUGAGGAAGUUGACGCAUCUUGCAAGGUCUGAUUUCUUAAUCCCACCAGCAUAUUAGUACCCGGAUUUUGAAUAGCCUGGUUGUUAUGGGUUUGAUGCAUUAACAAAUGUCCGGGCAUAUUUACACGCUCUGAACUUUCCGGAAGCCGAUCAAUGCAAACCUUUUUCCCAUGACUCUUGUUCAGAAACAUGACAGUCGCUUCUGUCAUUUGCAUCAGUCUCUUUCUCCGCAAAGUAGAAAGAGACAAAUCAAGCUAUGGAGCAUAAACAAAACCUUUUUAGACAUUAUAAAAGCAAAUGAUAAGGGAAAGCACACGUAGAAAUUUUAAUGAGCUAUUACCUUGGCGGUCUCAGGUUUUUUACUCAGCCUAUCAAGUCUGGGUACAGGAUCCAAACAAAGUUCAGGUUGUAUGGCUUUUAAUAUUCUUGAUUCCACUUCCUACAGUUAAUGAAAGGAUUAGUACAGAAAAGUUUCAGUGCUCAGAUAUUCGACUUGUAAUCCAAGAGUGACCGUGGUUACCAUGAGAUCACCAUAUGUCCAUGAGCUGUCCGACAUUGAUGGAAUAUCUUUUACCACAUUUUCAAGUGACAUCUUAAGGCGUACUUUAUUUAUCACAGGAGAGGCUUGCUCUGGGGUACGUUUCCGAUAGUCAUGCACCUACAAUAUCAUGUACCCAAAUGUUUUUUUUUUAAAACAUAAUUUUAUGUAAGAUGACACUUCAGCAAUGGAACAGAGAUAUGAUAAAACUCAUUUUAUGUUUUCUUCUGAUUCCAAUUACUCCAGCGUGUUUCCAAAGCUCAUAUUAAACAUAAUAGGAGCAAUCAACAGACAAUCAAAUAGCUGAUCUGCCUCGAAAGGAAAAAAGAAGAAGGAAAGAAUGAGUUUGGAAGUCAAACUCGCAUGCACUUAUAAAUUUCUAGGCCUAACGUUCACUACAAAAAAAAUAUUUUAUUUUAUUUUUAUCUCGAUUAGUCAGAGAUUAAUAAAAGCCUUAGGAACCAUGGUGAUUGCAAUUAAUUUUAAACCUCAGGAAAAAUUUCUUAGUUUUUGGGACGAAAAUUUGGGACUGCUAAUAUACUUGGACUAGAUGGCAGGCCAGGGAAGGCUUAGGUUCUAUCCAAAUAAAUGACUGAAGAUAACUCACCUCACAUAUGACUGCUCCAUCCACAAAUUUGCAAGGUAUAUCUUCCAAAAUGUCAGUAGGAAGUCUGCCAGCCUCAAUAGCCUAUAAAAAGCAACCAGAGGAAGUAAAAACACUUACCCAGUAGAAUGAGAACUUGAAAAUGUAUUUAACGAGAGCAAGUAGGGCGGCGAGAUCAAAGUAGAGAAAAUAAACAUCAACCUCACUUAUUCUAAUUUACUACAGAAAUUAGCAUUCAGUGGCAUAACAUACCAACUGUUAGUGUUACAACUCCAAAAUAAAUUUUUGGAAACCGACGGGGCCAUAAUAGAGACUUGAGAAACUUUUGGAGCAAAACCUCAGCUCAACACUAAGAAUACAGAUCUAGUGGCUCCAUUCAACAAUAAAAAUACAAAAAAUAUUAUUUUCAAAAGUACUUUGAAGUCAUUCACCGAAAGAGUAAGCAAGAUUUUCGAAUCAGGUAAAAAUAAUACUCUUCUUAAUUCAUACAUGUGAAAUACUUACUGAAAGUAGAGUCUCUGCUGCCCUACCAUACGGAUGUAAGGCCUUUGGAGCAUCUCGAAAAGAUGUCUGUUGCGCAACCUGGUUCUCAGAAACCAACAAAAUUGUUAGAUCGCUCGCUUAUGUAACCAUAAGAAAGGAAAGAUGGAGUCGAGAGUCAAUAAAAAAAAGUAUCAAUCGCCAGGUAUCUGGUUAGAGCAGAAAACCGACCUUGCAUCACACGCUCCAUCCGAAGGAAGUUUAUGACUCUUGUCUUGCAAGUAUUCAUGCUGCCACCAAGAAUAGAUUUUGACAAGGCUUUCUCUUCGUCUUUGAAGUCCUCGUUGUUAGACAAGCCCGAAAAACAAACCAUCAGACGCUGAGGAACGUAAGAGCGAGGUCUUCGCGAGUACUCAUCCACCUUAUGCUUUUUGCAGUUUAGUUGGUACCUAGAAAUAGACAAAAAAAAGUUCAUAACAUACGGCAUUAAAAACUUGUUCAUUCAGUAACAGUUCUUAAUUUAUAUGGAUGUAUGUAAUGAGAUAAGGAUGGUGGGACAAUGCCGACAAUGGUCUAAUGUAAAGCCAAAAUCAGAAGGAAAAGUAUGAUUAUAAAAGGCUAUUAUUUCUAUUACUUGUUUCUCAAUCAUAGCUGGCAUAUAGUUCAAAGCAAACCACUAGCCACAUGAAGAAGAAUUUAAUGGGUAUAACCUCAACAAAACAGGUUUGAAAAGAUUCAUACCUUGCAGCAACUCGUUCAAUCUUUGAGAAUCUGUCGAGGAUUGCGUGAUCGCCAGUAGUUUGGUUUCCCACUGGAGGACCAACAGCAUUGGCACUCACAGUAUUGACACUAACAGGAGAACCAACAGUGUUUAUAGCUUGUGUCAUAGGAUGAGAAUUUGUCCUCCGUUUUGCAACCAUUUGGUGUUGCCUUUGCUGCAUAGCAUCAUUAGGACUAGAACCCACUGACUGAGUAGCACCAAUAGCAGGAAUAGAAGUAACAGCCUUGUCCUUUUGAGCUGCUGCAACUGCUCCAUAGUGGUUUCCCAUUGAACCACCAGAAAACUCACCAGACUUCGAUGAAAGUGGCGACUGUGGCUGAGCGCCUGCUGAUAAACGAGGACUUUGAGCCGAUAUCCUUCUACUGAACUGUUCUUCUUUUCUCAGAUCUUUUUCAAUCUUCUGGCCUGGGUUCACGUUCCAGGAUGCUUGAGAGAAAUUCGAUCUUAACAAUCCAUUAUGGGGCAUCCUUGACUGCAUACGCGGAUCCACAUUAUUUGCAUCGCUUCCCACCCCAGGCAUAUCAUUUCUGACACUACCAUCAAUUUUACUCUCAAAUGGCUCCUCUUUCGAAGUGUAACGCAAUGUCCCCUGUUGUGAAGCUGGAAACUGCAUGGGACCACCUUCCUGAUUCAUUACUCCUUCAAUUUGCUGUGGUGAAAACCUCUGAAGACUUGGAUUUGGAUAUUGACUACUUCUGCCUAGUAUAUCUUGUUGUAGAACCGCAUUUUUCCAAUUUGUAUCGGUUCCCUGAAUGCCAUCCAUGCGUUGCCCCGGCUGUUGCUGUGGAACCCCAUGAGGACCCAUGUGUGAAACCCUUGUCCGCUUAUUCGAACCAGGCAUAGAAGACUCUUGCGCUUCUUGACUUUGUCUCUUUCUUUGGAAAGAUGCACCUGGGUUCAUACUAUCAGAGCCAUAAGGCAACAUUGCAUCUAAACCUCCAGAGACACUGGCAGAAUUUGAUCCUUGAUCUUGCACGUUUCUAAUAUGUCCAGUUCCCAGGUACCUUUGUUGCUGAGGUGCUACCAAAGGCAGUGAGGAAGUUGACGCAUCUUGCAAGGUCUGAUUUCUUAAUCCCACCAGCAUAUUAGUACCCGGAUUUUGAAUAGCCUGGUUGUUAUGGGUUUGAUGCAUUAACAAAUGUCCGGGCAUAUUUACACGCUCUGAACUUUCCGGAAGCCGAUCAAUGCAAACCUUUUUCCCAUGACUCUUGUUCAGAAACAUGACAGUCGCUUCUGUCAUUUGCAUCAGUCUCUUUCUCCGCAAAGUAGAAAGAGACAAAUCAAGCUAUGGAGCAUAAACAAAACCUUUUUAGACAUUAUAAAAGCAAAUGAUAAGGGAAAGCACACGUAGAAAUUUUAAUGAGCUAUUACCUUGGCGGUCUCAGGUUUUUUACUCAGCCUAUCAAGUCUGGGUACAGGAUCCAAACAAAGUUCAGGUUGUAUGGCUUUUAAUAUUCUUGAUUCCACUUCCUACAGUUAAUGAAAGGAUUAGUACAGAAAAGUUUCAGUGCUCAGAUAUUCGACUUGUAAUCCAAGAGUGACCGUGGUUACCAUGAGAUCACCAUAUGUCCAUGAGCUGUCCGACAUUGAUGGAAUAUCUUUUACCACAUUUUCAAGUGACAUCUUAAGGCGUACUUUAUUUAUCACAGGAGAGGCUUGCUCUGGGGUACGUUUCCGAUAGUCAUGCACCUACAAUAUCAUGUACCCAAAUGUUUUUUUUUUAAAACAUAAUUUUAUGUAAGAUGACACUUCAGCAAUGGAACAGAGAUAUGAUAAAACUCAUUUUAUGUUUUCUUCUGAUUCCAAUUACUCCAGCGUGUUUCCAAAGCUCAUAUUAAACAUAAUAGGAGCAAUCAACAGACAAUCAAAUAGCUGAUCUGCCUCGAAAGGAAAAAAGAAGAAGGAAAGAAUGAGUUUGGAAGUCAAACUCGCAUGCACUUAUAAAUUUCUAGGCCUAACGUUCACUACAAAAAAAAUAUUUUAUUUUAUUUUUAUCUCGAUUAGUCAGAGAUUAAUAAAAGCCUUAGGAACCAUGGUGAUUGCAAUUAAUUUUAAACCUCAGGAAAAAUUUCUUAGUUUUUGGGACGAAAAUUUGGGACUGCUAAUAUACUUGGACUAGAUGGCAGGCCAGGGAAGGCUUAGGUUCUAUCCAAAUAAAUGACUGAAGAUAACUCACCUCACAUAUGACUGCUCCAUCCACAAAUUUGCAAGGUAUAUCUUCCAAAAUGUCAGUAGGAAGUCUGCCAGCCUCAAUAGCCUAUAAAAAGCAACCAGAGGAAGUAAAAACACUUACCCAGUAGAAUGAGAACUUGAAAAUGUAUUUAACGAGAGCAAGUAGGGCGGCGAGAUCAUGUGGUGUUAAAGCACCAGAUCGGAGUUGCUGGCUUAUAACAUUCAAAUUUGACGCUGGAUGAUUCAUUGGGUUCUGCCCCAUGUUAUUGAUGCCAGGAAGAGACAUUGACGAUGUGAUUCCGGUUCCUCCAAGCCCUCUUCCCGCCAUAUUCAUUUGGUUGCCAAAAGCCCCAAGCGCAGCAAUACUGUUGCCCAUGCUUCCCAUUCCCAUAUUCAUGGCUACACCUGACCCCUGUUGCCCCAUCAUCAUCUUCCUCUGAAUCGCCGCGUGGUGCUGUAACAUCUGCAGUUGAUGAGGCGAAUGGUUGUUGGUCAUCUGACCACCCAGCGCCAUGCCAGAGCUCUGGCUCAUCGAGUUGAUCGCUGAUAGAGGAUUUGUAGGCAACAUCAUAGAUGCCGCUCUCUGCAUUUGUGGAUGCUGCUGCUGUGUAAACAUGGACUGUUGAUUUCUCUGUUGUAGCUGUGAUAGCGGAGACUGUUGUGGGUCAUGCUGUUGUGGUUGCAUAGGCAUGGAGACACCAGACAACAGUCCUUGAGACAUUUGCAAAGCCUGAGAAUUUGUCGGAGGGAGCAUCCUUGCAUUUGCAAGAACAUUCUGGGUUGAGUUCAUAGGUGCACUUCCAGCAUUCCCUUGUUUCGAUGCCUCAUUGGGCGCUUGUCCAGUAACUGCAUCCCCAUACUGUUGCAUUUCAUUUGCAGAGUUACCUCUUGGAACACCACCCGCAGAAUUCUGUUGACUGCUGCUUGGACCAGCA
RNAcentral lists this long non-coding RNA (8018 nucleotides) under Brassica napus (rape). Its description in RNAcentral is "long non-coding RNA (BNAP_LNC002561)". Lineage: Eukaryota; Viridiplantae; Streptophyta; Magnoliopsida; Brassicales; Brassicaceae. The record is from RNAcentral.